CCUACGGGAGGCAGCAGUAGGGAAUCUUUCACAAUGGGCGAAAGCCGGAUGGAGCAACGCCGCGUGCAGGAUGAAGGCCUUCGGGUUGUAAACUGCUUUUAUAAGCGAGAAAUAUGAUGGUAACUUAUGAAUAAGGAUCGGCUAACUACGUGCCAGCAGCCGCGGUCAUACGUAGGAUCCGAGCAUUAUCCGGAGUGACUGGGUGUAAAGAGUUGCGUAGGUGGCAUAAUAAGUAUCUAGUGAAAUCUGGUGGCUCAACCAUUCAGACUAUUAGCUAAACUGUUAAGCUCGAGACCGUUAGGGUUAACUGGAAUGUCUAGUGUAGGAGUGAAAGCCGUAGAUAUUAGAAAGAACACCAAUAGCGUAGGCAGGUUACUGGGACGGUUCUGACACUAAGGCACGAAAGCGUAGGGAGCAAACGGGAUUAGAUACCCUGGUAGUC
This 442-nucleotide ribosomal RNA is filed under the name uncultured bacterium. RNAcentral's name for it is "partial 16S ribosomal RNA". It matches the Rfam family "Bacterial small subunit ribosomal RNA", at positions 338 to 795 of the family's 1533-position model. The record is from RNAcentral.